AAUAGAUACCCUGGUAGUCCACGCCGUAAACGGUGGGCACUAGGUGUGGGCGACAUUCCACGUCGUCCGUGCCGCAGCUAACGCAUUAAGUGCCCCGCCUGGGGAGUACGGCCGCAAGGCUAAAACUCAAGGGAAUUGACGGGGGCCCGCACAAGCGGCGGAGCAUGUGGCUUAAUUCGACGCAACGCGAAGAACCUUACCAAGGCUUGACAUACACCGGAAACGUCCAGAGAUGGGCGCCCCUUUGUGUCGGUGUACAGGUGGUGCAUGGCUGUCGUCAGCUCGUGUCGUGAGAUGUUGGGUUAAGUCCCGCAACGAGCGCAACCCUUGUCCCGUGUUGCCAGCAGGCCCUUGUGGUGCUGGGGACUCACGGGGAGACCGCCGGGGUCAACUCGGAGGAAGGUGGGGACGACGUCAAGGUCAUCAUGCCCCUUAUGUCUUGGGCUGCACACGUGCUACAAUGGCCGGUACAAUGAGCUGCGAUACCGCGAGGUGGAGCGAAUCUCAAAAAGCCGGUCUCAGUUCGGAUUGGGGU
Molecule: ribosomal RNA, 535 nt
Filed under: uncultured bacterium
Lineage: Bacteria
Description: bacterial SSU rRNA
Rfam family: Bacterial small subunit ribosomal RNA
Source: RNAcentral